Papaver somniferum (opium poppy) is the source of this 1980-nucleotide long non-coding RNA. RefSeq lists it as uncharacterized. NCBI's taxonomy places the organism in Eukaryota, Viridiplantae, Streptophyta, Magnoliopsida, Ranunculales, Papaveraceae. The transcript is spliced from 3 exons. The record is from RefSeq and is a predicted model, not a curated record.
AUUCCCCUUCUUCUUCUUCUUCUUCCCGGUUCUUCUUCUGCAACUGAUUGAGAGAAAUCAGAUCGGUGGUUCUGUAAAAGAUGGGAAAGAUCAAGAAGUAACUUUUGGUGGUGUUGUUGUUUAAUUGGUUGCUUUAGAUUCACCAGAAGAGUAAAUCAGGGGGACUUAAAUUAGGUUUUAGACUUGCUUUUGAGUUCGUAUUCAAUUGGCAAGCAAAUUGAGUUGUUAGAAGAUGAAGAACGAUUGGGUUGGUGUUUAAUUGAUUUUCAGAUGUUGUUCUCAUGAAGAAUCAGAGUUAGGGUUUCUCAUAAAUUGAAUUAGGGAUUGUAAGAAGAACGCAGAGAUUGUCUAGAAGAUGGAAUUGAUGUUCUGGGAUGUUGAUAUGAGAUGGGUUUGAGUUUAAUUAGGGUAGAAGGUUGGAGAACAAUUCAAUUUUGACAGUUAGGGUUAUAAGUCGUGCAUCUGAUGUUCAAUUGAAGUUGAAUAUGUGAAGUAGUUGAUGGAUCUAGGAUUUGAGUCUGUUGAUAAGAAGGCGGCAGAGUAAUUGUUGGUGCUAAUUUGUAUAUUGAGAAAAACUCAGAUAAGAGGCUAAUGAUACCAAGUAGUAUAUACAGGGCAUGUAAGAAGUUAUGGGAAUGGUUAUAUUUAAUGGGAAGAACUGGAAGUUAGAAUCAGUUUGAGAUAAAGAAGAUGAAUGAUUGUUGCAGGUGGGGUUGAUGCCAUGAUAUUGCAACUUCAGAUGUUGCUCAGGAGAAAGAAUGUUAUGAAGAAGAAUUCAAUUCCAACUGCUCAGGGAGAAGGAGAAGUAAAUUGUAUUGUGAGUUGUUAUGAGGAUUGAACUGGUUGGUGCUUGGGCAUAAUGGUUUUAAGGUAAUUUCUUCUCUGAAUUGAUUUGGUAAAGUCUUUCAUUUCCAUUGGUUAUGUAUAUGUGAUUGUCAAUGGAAUUAUGUUUGCAAGAUGAGUAUGGGGGUUUUGGUUGUGGUCUUGAUAUAUGCUAAGUUACAGGGAACUGGUAUUGAUAUUCAAGUGAUGCAGGAGUGGAGUUUUGAUUUGGUGUUUAAGUAAUCUAAAUUACAGGAGUCAUGGAUAAUUGGCGGAGGUAUGGAAAUGUAUGUUUUGGUAGUGAUGAAUUGAACUGAUAUGUUGUUGGGUUGUUGUGUAGUGAAUGAGUAAAUGUUGAAUUGUUGUGGAUGUGUGAUGAGUGUGUUUAUGAAGAUAAGGACUGAUGAUGAAUUGAAAUGAGAUUAAAACAGGCUUGUAUGAGUUGGAAUUGCAGAUGGUUUGUUAGGUGCAGUUGUAGAGUGGUUUGAAGUUCUGGUGGUGGAUAUGUUGUAGAAGUGUGUCUAGCAAUGAAGUUGCAGUUGGAUAUUAAAAAGGUGUUAGUUGUAGCUAGAUCUAGAGAUAGAGAUAGAGAUAGAGUUGGAAUGGUUGUGUAGUGAGCUGAAAUGAAAUGUUUGUAUGACUGUAAUGUAAGAAUGGAGGUUAGACGAACACUGGAGUUGAAUCUGUGCAGUGAAAUGCUUGCAGUUGCUGCCUAAAGUAUUAUUAACAACGAGCGAAUCAAAGGAUGAAUCAGUAGAUCGUGGAUCUCAAGGUAGGCGUGGCUUGUCAUCAAAAGAGUUUUCAGUGACAGAUCAGAUUUGCGUAGCGAAAGCUUCGGGUUGAGUUCGCUAGUUGAUUAACUUCUGCUAGGUUCAUUAUGUUGUAUAUUUUAUUUGUAAACCAAAUGACUAUUGUAUAUGUAUCAUUUGAGAGGAAUCCUUGUAUACAUAUAUUUCUGAGCGGGGCUAGUUUUGGGAUAAGUUUUUGUAGCAGAAUUCUAAAUAGAAUAUUUAAGUAAAUGAUUUAGAUUCUCAGUGUCUCUUUAUUUAGUCAAUCUCUUUGAUUAGUCAGCUGCUAUCUUAGGGGGCGCUACAGUUCUAACUUCUCCACUUCGUUCAGCCGAUGGUGCAACAGUUCUUCCUUCGUACUAGGAGUCGC